This 244-nucleotide ribosomal RNA is filed under the name uncultured Actinomycetales bacterium. RNAcentral's name for it is "partial 16S ribosomal RNA". It matches the Rfam family "Bacterial small subunit ribosomal RNA", at positions 89 to 334 of the family's 1533-position model. Lineage: Bacteria; Bacillati; Actinomycetota; Actinomycetes; Actinomycetales. The record is from RNAcentral.
ACUCGAGUGGCGAACGGGUGAGUAACACGUGGGUGAUCUGCCCUGCACUUCGGGAUAAGCCUGGGAAACUGGGUCUAAUACCGGAUAGGAGCCAUUUUUAGUGUGAUGGUUGGAAAGUUUUUCGGUGUAGGAUGAGCUCGCGGCCUAUCAGCUUGUUGGUGGGGUAAUGGCCUACCAAGGCGGCGACGAUGGGUAGCCGGCCUGAGAGGGUGAACGGCCACAUUGGAACUGAGAAACGGUCCAA